Dunckerocampus dactyliophorus (ringed pipefish) is the source of this 1064-nucleotide long non-coding RNA. RefSeq lists it as uncharacterized. Lineage: Eukaryota; Metazoa; Chordata; Actinopteri; Syngnathiformes; Syngnathidae. The transcript has 4 exons. The record is from RefSeq and is a predicted model, not a curated record.
CCAGGGGUAUGUCAAUUGUCAUUGGGGGUACGUGAAUAAACAUGUAAAACAAUUAGCGCCGGACGCUCACAAUUACGAGCGCACCUGAACGCCUCAUACCACAGAGCGCACCGUCAUAGCAGAAAGAAGGAAGAAGACACGGCAUCAAGUUCUUCAUUGCUCUGUGUGGGUUGUAUGAAUAAGAAGGAAAAGGGGGGGGUGACAGUGAGGACCUACGGGAUAUGAGGUCAAAGCUCUUCUUCUCCUCAGGAUUGUGCUUCACCUGACAGGUGAGCAGGUUGAGUUUGGCUGGAGGCCUGUUUGCCUGUAGGAACGACAGAAAGCAAAGGAGAGGAGCCAUUUAAAAUGGCCGUCUUAAGAACAUCCCGUAACUGUGUCAGCUGUUUCCGCUCCUCAUCCUGCGCCUGCUUUAUCUGCAGAGAAACAACAUUCAAGGAGAGAGCGAGGGAAUAAGGUGGACGUAAAUGAAUGCGGUGUCAGGUCUCCUUUCAGCAGGCUGUCCAAUGGGAAGGUGAUGAUGUUGUUCAUGUUUUGGAACUGGAGAACCGAAAGAGACAGAUUAACAAAGUAGUGGAUGAUCAGGGUUUUUUUUUUUGGUGUUUCAGUCAAUCACUGCAAAUAAUAAACAAAAUGUUGCAGCUUGGAUCUCAUUAUGAAGUAUCAUUUGAUGCAGAGACUAAAUAAUAUAAGUUUUAUUGGCACAAAUUCAUGUUCAGGAAAAAAGCUCUACUGCAAGUUAGCGAGUUGCAUUCAAAGAUAGCUUCAGGUUGCACAGUUGGAAAAGCUUCAGCAUCCUGGUUCGACGGCAUCUCACAUUUCCUUAAUAUAAGGUAUCAUGGAUACAAAAUCUCAGUGGAAGUUGAAACAAUGUGCAUGAUGGAGUCAAGUUUGUCUAUAAUAGCUUUGGACGGGAUACAAAAGGUGCUUUUAGUGGAGGAGGAUCAGACUUGAUUACAUCAAACUGAAAUUAGAUGUCGCAGUGGCUUGUUGGCCGCCUUAGUGGAAAACUGGAGCUUCCUGCUUAGACAAUGUGUGUGUCGUUGAACUCCAGGGGAUUGAGACAA